AACGAACGCUGGCGGCGUGGCUAAGACAUGCAAGUCGAACGGACUGUUCAAUUUAUUGUUCAGUUAGUGGCGUAAGGGUUAGUAACGGGUAGGUAACGUACCCUGUGCUUUGGGAUAGCGUCAGUAACUUCGGUUACUUUCCGAAAGGGGCGGUAAUACCAAAAAUAUCAUUUGUCGAUAGGCGAAUGAUCAAAGAUUUAUCGGCGCAGGAGCGGCCUGCCUCCUAUCAGCUUGUUGGUGAGGUAAUGGCUCACCAAGGCAUCGACGGGUAGCGGGACUGAGAGGUUGGCCCGCAACAUCGGGACUGAGACACUGCCCGGACCUCCACGGAGGGCUGCAGUAACGGAUAUUGUGCAAUGGGCGAAAGCCUGACACAGCGACGCCGCGUGUAGGAGGAAGUCCUUCGGGAUGUAAACUACUGUCAGGGGGAAGAAAGUGCGCUUCGGCGCAUUGAUCUAACCCAAAGGAAGUCACGGCUAACUUCGUGCCAGCAGCCGCGGUAAGACGAAGGUGGCAAGCGUUGUUCGGUAUUACUGGGCUUAAAGCGUGUGUAGGCGGAAAAUUAAGCGUUGUGUGAAAUCCCCCGGCUUAACCGGGGAACUGCAUAACGAACUGAUUUUCUUGAGGCAAGUAGGGGUGCAUGGAACUCUUGGUGGAGCGGUGGAAUGCGUAGAUAUCAAGAGGAACGCCAGUGGAGAAAUCGGUGCACUGGGCUUGUCCUGACGCUGAGACACGAAAGCGUGGGUAGCGAACGGGAUUAGAUACCCCGGUAGUCCACGCCGUAAACGAUGCCUACUAGGUUGUGCGAGUUCUGACACUGGCACAGCCGAAGCAAAAGUGUUAAGUAGGCCGCCUGGGGAGACGGUCGCAAGGCU
RNAcentral lists this ribosomal RNA (875 nucleotides) under uncultured Planctomycetota bacterium. RNAcentral describes it as "bacterial SSU rRNA". It matches the Rfam family "Bacterial small subunit ribosomal RNA", at positions 28 to 895 of the family's 1533-position model. The record is from RNAcentral. Lineage: Bacteria; Pseudomonadati; Planctomycetota.